GAUGAACGCUGGCGGCGUGCCUAAUACAUGCAAGUCGAGCGAACAGACGAGGAGCUUGCUCCUUCGACGUUAGCGGCGGACGGGUGAGUAACACGUAGGUAACCUACCUAUAAGACUGGGAUAACUUCGGGAAACCGGAGCUAAUACCGGAUAAUAUUUCGAACCGCAUGGUUCGAUAGUGAAAGAUGGCUUUGCUAUCACUUAUAGAUGGACCUGCGCCGUAUUAGCUAGUUGGUGAGGUAACGGCUUACCAAGGCAACGAUACGUAGCCGACCUGAGAGGGUGAUCGGCCACACUGGAACUGAGACACGGUCCAGACUCCUACGGGAGGCAGCAGUAGGGAAUCUUCCGCAAUGGGCGAAAGCCUGACGGAGCAACGCCGCGUGAGUGAUGAAGGUCUUCGGAUCGUAAAACUCUGUUAUUAGGGAAGAACAAACGUGUAAGUAACUGUGCACGUCUUGACGGUACCUAAUCAGAAAGCCACGGCUAACUACGUG
RNAcentral lists this ribosomal RNA (497 nucleotides) under uncultured bacterium. Its description in RNAcentral is "partial 16S ribosomal RNA". It matches the Rfam family "Bacterial small subunit ribosomal RNA", at positions 28 to 507 of the family's 1533-position model. The record is from RNAcentral.